GCACUGCACUGCUAUAGUGCUAUCUGUCUAGUGUACUGGAUAACAAUAAUUGCCUCCUUUUCUCUCGAGUAUUUGCAUUACAAUAUUAUAGUUGUUAUCAAGAUUGGAGGUAAUUGGAUCUCUUUUAUAUAUGAUGCUAUAGAAGUCGCUAACCUUGUUGGUACUGCUGUGCUGACAAAAAAUGAUUCACUACAACAUUGUUCGAUUUCAUGAAACCCUAGACCCCUUGCCUAAGUGACAAGAGA
RNAcentral lists this long non-coding RNA (245 nucleotides) under Elaeis guineensis (African oil palm). RNAcentral's name for it is "long non-coding RNA (EGUI_LNC026360)". The record is from RNAcentral. Lineage: Eukaryota; Viridiplantae; Streptophyta; Magnoliopsida; Arecales; Arecaceae.